AUCUCCCAACCCUUUGAUUUAUCGACCCCAUUCUGCCUCGGGGGCGACCCGGUCCUCGCGGCCGCGGUCCCCCCGGUGGCGACCUAUAACCCUGCAUCAAUUGUCGUCUGAUAUUGAUAUUAAAUUCAAUUAAAACUUUCAACAACGGAUCUCUUGGUUCUGGCAUCGAUGAAGAACGCAGCGAAAUGCGAUAAGUAAUGUGAAUUGCAGAAUUCAGUGAAUCAUCGAAUCUUUGAACGCACAUUGCGCCCCCUGGCAUUCCGGGGGGCAUGCCUGUUCGAGCGUCAUUACACCAAUCAAGCCUGGCUUGGUAUUGGGCGACGGGGCCGUCACACGCCCCGCGCCCCAAUGACUCCCCGGCGGGACGGACUGUAUCUCAGCGUUGUGCAAAUGUCGCUGGCGAUUUACGGGACGGCCGUGCCGUGAAAACCUCAUUUUAUCAGGUUGACCUCGGAUCAGGUAGG
This 464-nucleotide ribosomal RNA is filed under the name Neodevriesia capensis. Its description in RNAcentral is "eukaryotic LSU rRNA". The stretch from base 134 to 287 matches the Rfam family "5.8S ribosomal RNA". Lineage: Eukaryota; Fungi; Ascomycota; Dothideomycetes; Mycosphaerellales; Neodevriesiaceae. The record is from RNAcentral.